UACAGAGGGUGCAAGCGUUGUUCGGAAUUAUUGGGCGUAAAGGGCGCGUAGGCGGUGCGGUAAGUCUGCAGUGAAAUCUCUGGGCUCAACUCAGAGUCUGCUGUAGAAACUGCCGUGCUUGAGUGUGGGAGAGGUGAGUGGAAUUCCCGGUGUAGCGGUGAAAUGCGUAGAUAUCGUCUGGAACGCCGAAGGUGAAAACAGCUCGCUGGGGCUGCGCUGACGCUGAGACACGAAAGCCAGGGGAGCGAACGGG
This 253-nucleotide ribosomal RNA is filed under the name uncultured bacterium. Its description in RNAcentral is "partial 16S ribosomal RNA". It matches the Rfam family "Bacterial small subunit ribosomal RNA", at positions 524 to 776 of the family's 1533-position model. The record is from RNAcentral.